This 497-nucleotide ribosomal RNA is filed under the name uncultured bacterium. RNAcentral describes it as "partial 16S ribosomal RNA". It matches the Rfam family "Bacterial small subunit ribosomal RNA", at positions 28 to 507 of the family's 1533-position model. The record is from RNAcentral.
GAUGAACGCUGGCGGCGUGCCUAAUACAUGCAAGUCGAGCGAACGGACGAGAAGCUUGCUUCUCUGAUGUUAGCGGCGGACGGGUGAGUAACACGUGGAUAACCUACCUAUAAGACUGGGAUAACUUCGGGAAACCGGAGCUAAUACCGGCUAAUAUUUUGAACCGCAUGGUUCAAAAGUGAAAGACGGUCUUGCUGUCACUUAUAGAUGGAUCCGCGCCGCAUUAGCUAGUUGGUAAGGUAACGGCUUACCAAGGCAACGAUGCAUAGCCGACCUGAGAGGGUGAUCGGCCACACUGGAACUGAGACACGGUCCAGACUCCUACGGGAGGCAGCAGUAGGGAAUCUUCCGCAAUGGGCGAAAGCCUGACGGAGCAACGCCGCGUGAGUGAUGAAGGUCCUCGGAUCGUAAAACUCUGUUAUUAGGGAAGAACAUAUGUGUAAGUAACUGUGCACAUCUUGACGGUACCUAAUCAGAAAGCCACGGCUAACUACGUG